GGCCCUGUGGUUAACGGUUGGGGGCUGCUGUUGACAAGGCCUGUUGCUGUGGCAGUUUUGCUCCGGAAGUGGCCAUUUUCUGUGCAGGGCUCCACCAGAGCACCAUCUGUCUGUACCUUCUACUUCCUGUCAAGCGGCAGCAGGCUUCGUGAGCUGGGGAAGUGCCGGAGGCAACCUUCGAGUUGGACAGACCUGGAACCAAACCCUUUCUCUUCCCCCAACCCGUUUUGGCAUCUUGGCACGAGACUGUCCCCAUUUCUAGAAAGGGUGUUCACAAGAACAGUCUGGCUGGGUUGUUGGGAUGACCAAGUGUGAUCAUGCAUCUCUGUGGCUGGCCAUGGUGUUUAUUCAAUGGCAGACAUUACCAGGAUGGAGCGAGUCCCAGUAGGAAGGGCCUUUAGGAUGUCAUCUGGUUCCGCCCAACAGGGAUGGGAACUGUAAUUCCCCACCCUCCCUGUGGAGAAUCAGGGCGGGCUCCGGAUGGAUGGCCAAAGGCUGCACAGAGCCCUUGUUCUUUAGCCACAGGUUGAAGAUGACAGUAGAUCUUAAGGAACCUCAGUUCUAUCCCGAAAUGUGAAAGCCUUUUUACUCAACCACAAAGAAGUGGUCAGCAGAAAACUGGUCAUCCCAGCCUCUGGGGCCACACACAGCACUCAGGAGGAGCUACUGUUUUCCCUGCCUAUUAACAUGCAGCCUGGGGCCUUGUGGGCUAUUUGAAAAUUAGGACACAAGAAGUCCAAGCAGCACCUGACUGGGAGCUCCAUGAGGUCCGAGACAACCAGAAGACUCCCAGCUCAGCAGAGACUGGCUAUGGCAAUCAGUAACUAUUUGUUGAAUAGGACAUAAUAGAAGAGCUGAAGAAUUUUAAACAAGUCACCACCAGUCCAGUGGAUUCCUCAAAGCAAACCUGUAAAUCUCGGCAUGAGUUGGAUUUAAGGCAGUACAUUUUCAGCUCCUGAAAAUUUGAACAGUUUCUCAAGAGAACAACUUGAAACAGAAAGGCAAGGAUGUAGAUGUGGUUGUAGAAGGUGAUGUCUAAGGCCACCAAACUGUCCACUGUGAAGAUAAACCGUGCAUGUUUAGUAGGAGGUGGCUCCCCUUCCC
Molecule: non-coding RNA, 1104 nt
Filed under: Pongo abelii (Sumatran orangutan)
Lineage: Eukaryota; Metazoa; Chordata; Mammalia; Primates; Hominidae
Source: RNAcentral